RNAcentral lists this long non-coding RNA (428 nucleotides) under Phaseolus vulgaris (common bean). RNAcentral describes it as "long non-coding RNA (PVUL_LNC003296)". Lineage: Eukaryota; Viridiplantae; Streptophyta; Magnoliopsida; Fabales; Fabaceae. The record is from RNAcentral.
ACACUACUUCAGUUUCAACCUGUCUCUUGUGGAAGUUCCUGUGGCACCCACAUGCAGCACAAGUGAGAGCAGCAGUUGUCCCUUCUCCACCACUUGCCAUGAACUCUCUGCAACCAUCAACAGCAUACCCUCCAACAUUUGCUGCAUGAUUCUUCUGGCACUCUCCAUACUUCACACUCCUAACAUUUCUCUGAGGCUCCUCUCUUCUCACAACCACCUGGCGCUUCCUCAUCUUCUUGAUUUCACCAGCUCCACAACUGCAGUACACCCUUCAGAUCCUUCUUCUCUCCCCCUUUUGCCUGUUUCAAAGCUCAAACCCUGCAAAGUUAUGCCAUGAAAUUCUCUGAGAGCUUUGGUGAAUUGAAAUCAGAAACUGAAUAGAAAGAAAUAAGAGGUAGAGAGAGAUAGAGGGUUGUACAACUCACUUG